AGAGAUUGAACUGAAGAGUUUGAUCCUGGCUCAGAUUGAACGCUGGCGGGAUGCUUUACACAUGCAAGUCGGACGGCAGCACGGGCUUCGGCCUGGUGGCGAGUGGCGAACGGGUGAGUAAUGUAUCGGAACGUGCCCAGUAGCGGGGGAUAACUACGCGAAAGCGUGGCUAAUACCGCAUACGCCCUACGGGGGAAAGCGGGGGACCUUCGGGCCUCGCACUAUUGGAGCGGCCGAUAUCGGAUUAGCUAGUUGGUGGGGUAACGGCCUACCAAGGCGACGAUCCGUAGCUGGUUUGAGAGGACGACCAGCCACACUGGGACUGAGACACGGCCCAGACUCCUACGGGAGGCAGCAGUGGGGAAUUUUGGACAAUGGGGGCAACCCUGAUCCAGCCAUCCCGCGUGUGCGAUGAAGGCCUUCGGGUUGUAAAGCACUUUUGGCAGGAAAGAAACGGCACGGGCUAAUAUCCUGUGCAACUGACGGUACCUGCAGAAUAAGCACCGGCUAACUACGUGCCAGCAGCCGCGGUAAUACGUAGGGUGCAAGCGUUAAUCGGAAUUACUGGGCGUAAAGCGUGCGCAGGCGGUUCGGAAAGAAAGAUGUGAAAUCCCAGGGCUUAACCUUGGAACUGCAUUUUUAACUACCGGGCUAGAGUGUGUCAGAGGGAGGUGGAAUUCCGCGUGUAGCAGUGAAAUGCGUAGAUAUGCGGAGGAACACCGAUGGCGAAGGCAGCCUCCUGGGAUAACACUGACGCUCAUGCACGAAAGUGUGGGGAGCAAACAGGAUUAGAUACCCUGGUAGUCCACGCCCUAAACGAUGUCAACUAGCUGUUGGGGCCUUCGGGCCUUGGUAGCGCAGCUAACGCGUGAAGUUGACCGCCUGGGGAGUACGGUCGCAAGAUUAAAACUCAAAGGAAUUGACGGGGACCCGCACAAGCGGUGGAUGAUGUGGAUUAAUUCGAUGCAACGCGAAAAACCUUACCUACCCUUGACAUGUCUGGAAUCCCGAAGAGAUUUGGGAGUGCUCGCAAGAGAACCGGAACACAGGUGCUGCAUGGCUGUCGUCAGCUCGUGUCGUGAGAUGUUGGGUUAAGUCCCGCAACGAGCGCAACCCUUGUCAUUAGUUGCUACGAAAGGGCACUCUAAUGAGACUGCCGGUGACAAACCGGAGGAAGGUGGGGAUGACGUCAAGUCCUCAUGGCCCUUAUGGGUAGGGCUUCACACGUCAUACAAUGGUCGGGACAGAGGGUUGCCAACCCGCGAGGGGAGCCAAUCCCAGAAACCCGGUCGUAGUCCGGAUCGCAGUCUGCAACUCGACUGCGUGAAGUCGGAAUCGCUAGUAAUCGCGGAUCAGCAUGUCGCGGUGAAUACGUUCCCGGGUCUUGUACACACCGCCCGUCACACCAUGGGAGUGGGUUUUACCAGAAGUAGUUAGCCUAACCGCAAGGGGGGCGAUUACCACGGUAGGAUUCAUGACUGGGGUGAAGUCGUAACAAGGUAGCCGUAUCGGAAGGUGCGGCUGGAUCACCUCCUUUAAGA
This 1541-nucleotide ribosomal RNA is filed under the name Bordetella pertussis. Its description in RNAcentral is "bacterial SSU rRNA". It matches the Rfam family "Bacterial small subunit ribosomal RNA". Lineage: Bacteria; Pseudomonadati; Pseudomonadota; Betaproteobacteria; Burkholderiales; Alcaligenaceae. The record is from RNAcentral.